AUUGAACGCUGGCGGCAGGCCUAACACAUGCAAGUCGAACGGUAACAGGAAGAAGCUUGCUUCUUUGCUGACGAGUGGCGGACGGGUGAGUAAUGUCUGGGAAACUGCCUGAUGGAGGGGGAUAACUACUGGAAACGGUAGCUAAUACCGCAUAACGUCGCAAGACCAAAGAGGGGGACCUUCGGGCCUCUUGCCAUCGGAUGUGCCCAGAUGGGAUUAGCUAGUAGGUGGGGUAACGGCUCACCUAGGCGACGAUCCCUAGCUGGUCUGAGAGGAUGACCAGCCACACUGGAACUGAGACACGGUCCAGACUCCUACGGGAGGCAGCAGUGGGGAAUAUUGCACAAUGGGCCCAAUCCUGAUGCAGCCAUGCCGCGUGUAUGAAGAAGGCCUUCGGGUUGUAAAGUACUUUCAGCGGGGAGGAAGGGAGUAAAGUUAAUACCUUUGCUCAUUGACGUUACCCGCAGAAGAAGCACCGGCUAACUCCGUG
RNAcentral lists this ribosomal RNA (490 nucleotides) under uncultured bacterium. RNAcentral describes it as "partial 16S ribosomal RNA". It matches the Rfam family "Bacterial small subunit ribosomal RNA", at positions 30 to 507 of the family's 1533-position model. The record is from RNAcentral.